AGUUCGAGCGGUAAGGCCCUUCGGGGUACACGAGCGGCGAACGGGUGAGUAACACGUGGGUGAUCUGCCUCGCACUUCGGGAUAAGCCUGGGAAACUGGGUCUAAUACCGGAUAUGACUUCUGGUCGCAUGGCUGGGGGUGGAAAGAUUUAUCGGUGCGAGAUGGGCCCGCGGCCUAUCAGCUUGUUGGUGGGUAAUGGCCUACCAAGGCGACGACGGGUAGCCGGCCUGAGAGGGCGACCGGCCACACUGGGACUGAGACACGGCCCAGACUCCUACGGGAGGCAGCAGUGGGGAAUAUUGCACAAUGGGCGAAAGCCUGAUGCAGCGACGCCGCGUGAGGGAUGACGGCCUUCGGGUUGUAAACCUCUUUCGACAGGGACGAAGCGCAAGUGACGGUACCUGUAGAAGAAGCACCGGCCAACUACGUGCCAGCAGCCGCGGUAAUACGUAGGGUGCGAGCGUUGUCCGGAAUUACUGGGCGUAAAGAGCUUGUAGGCGGUUUGUCGCGUCGUCUGUGAAAACUCACAGCUCAACUGUGAGCUUGCAGGCGAUACGGGCAGACUUGAGUACUGCAGGGGAGACUGGAAUUCCUGGUGUAGCGGUGAAAUGCGCAGAUAUCAGGAGGAACACCGGUGGCGAAGGCGGGUCUCUGGGCAGUAACUGACGCUGAGAAGCGAAAGCGUGGGUAGCGAACAGGAUUAGAUACCCUGGUAGUCCACGCCGUAAACGGUGGGCGCUAGGUGUGGGUUUCCUUCCACGGGAUCCGUGCCGUAGCUAACGCAUUAAGCGCCCCGCCUGGGGAGUACGGCCGCAAGGCUAAAACUCAAAGGAAUUGACGGGGGCCCGCACAAGCGGCGGAGCAUGUGGAUUAAUUCGAUGCAACGCGAAGAACCUUACCUGGGUUUGACAUACACCGGAAACCUGCAGAGAUGUAGGCCCCCUUGUGGUCGGUGUACAGGUGGUGCAUGGCUGUCGUCAGCUCGUGUCGUGAGAUGUUGGGUUAAGUCCCGCAACGAGCGCAACCCUUGUCCUGUGUUGCCAGCGGAUUAUGCCGGGGACUCGCAGGAGACUGCCGGGGUCAACUCGGAGGAAGGUGGGGACGACGUCAAGUCAUCAUGCCCCUUAUGUCCAGGGCUUCACACAUGCUACAAUGGCCGGUACAGAGGGCUGCGAUACCGUGAGGUGGAGCGAAUCCCUUAAAGCCGGUCUCAGUUCGGAUCGGGGUCUGCAACUCGACCCCGUGAAGUUGGAGUCGCUAGUAAUCGCAGAUCAGCACGCUGCGGUGAAUACGUUCCCGGGCCUUGUACACACCGCCCGUCACGUCAUGAAAGUCGGUAACACCCGAAGCCGGUGGCCUAACCCCUUGUGGGAGGGAGCCGUCGAAGGUGGGAUCGGCGAUUGGGACGAAGUCGUAACAUUAGAAGUUUGU
This 1431-nucleotide ribosomal RNA is filed under the name Nocardia beijingensis. RNAcentral's name for it is "bacterial SSU rRNA". It matches the Rfam family "Bacterial small subunit ribosomal RNA". Lineage: Bacteria; Bacillati; Actinomycetota; Actinomycetes; Mycobacteriales; Nocardiaceae. The record is from RNAcentral.